GAACGCACAUUGCGCCCACUAGUAUUCUGGUGGGCAUGCCUGUUCGAGCGUCAUUACGACCCUUAAGCCUCAGUUGCUUAGUGUUGGGGGCUCGCCGUAAUUGGCGACCCCUUAAAGACAUCGGCGGAGUCGAGAUGGAACUCUGAGCGUAGUAAAUCUUUUCUCGCUUUUGAAGUCCUCACGGCCCUAGCCGCUAAACCUUAUGACCUAGUCAUCUAGUGGUUGACCUCGGAUCAGGUAGGAAUACCCGCUGAACUUAAG
This 261-nucleotide unclassified non-coding RNA is filed under the name Circinotrichum maculiforme. RNAcentral describes it as "sequence contains 5.8S rRNA gene". The stretch from base 1 to 53 matches the Rfam family "5.8S ribosomal RNA", at positions 102 to 154 of the family's 154-position model. Lineage: Eukaryota; Fungi; Ascomycota; Sordariomycetes; Xylariales; Coniocessiaceae. The record is from RNAcentral.